Molecule: ribosomal RNA, 252 nt
Filed under: uncultured bacterium
Lineage: Bacteria
Description: partial 16S ribosomal RNA
Rfam family: Bacterial small subunit ribosomal RNA
Source: RNAcentral
UAAGCCCUACGGGGGGCAGCAGUGGGGAAUAUUGGGCAAUGGGCGCAAGCCUGACCCAGCAACGCCGCGUGAAGGAAGAAGGCUUUCGGGUUGUAAACUUCUUUUAAGAGGGAAGAGCAGGAGACGGUACCUCUUGAAUAAGCCACGGCUAACUACGUGCCAGCAGCCGCGGUAAUACGUAGGUGGCAAGCGUUGUCCGGAUUUACUGGGUGUAAAGGGCGUGCAGCCGGGCAGACAAGUCAUAUGUGAAAU